GACGAGCGCUGGCGGCGUGCUUAACACAUGCAAGUCGAACGGAAAGGCUCCAGCUUGCUGGCGUACUCGAGUGGCGAACGGGUGAGUAACACGUGGGUAAUCUGCCCUGCACUCUGGGAUAAGCCUGGGAAACUGGGUCUAAUACUGGAUAUGACCUUUCUCCUUAUGGGGUUUGGUGGAAAGUUUUUCGGUGUAGGAUGAGCCCGCGGCCUAUCAGCUUGUUGGUGGGGUGAUGGCCUACCAAGGCGACGACGGGUAGCCGGCCUGAGAGGGUGAUCGGCCACAUUGGGACUGAGAUACGGCCCAGACUCCUACGGGAGGCAGCAGUGGGGAAUAUUGCACAAUGGGCGGAAGCCUGAUGCAGCGACGCCGCGUGAGGGAUGACGGCCUUCGGGUUGUAAACCUCUUUCAGCAGGGACGAAGCGUAAGUGACGGUACCUGCAGAAGAAGCACCGGCUAACUAUGUG
Molecule: ribosomal RNA, 467 nt
Filed under: uncultured bacterium
Lineage: Bacteria
Description: partial 16S ribosomal RNA
Rfam family: Bacterial small subunit ribosomal RNA
Source: RNAcentral